GAAGUGAGUGACAUUGGACAAUUAUGUUGGAUUUUUUUACAAAAUAUCCUCAAUAGACUUGUUCGGAAUCUAGUUCACUUCA
RNAcentral lists this transfer RNA (82 nucleotides) under Streptococcus pneumoniae. RNAcentral describes it as "tRNA-Val(tac)". Lineage: Bacteria; Bacillati; Bacillota; Bacilli; Lactobacillales; Streptococcaceae. The record is from RNAcentral.